GGCUACGCAUGCGGCGACGGUUCCCCUUGGGGAUCAAAAGGGAACGCGGUGAGGGCUGGCGCCCGAGGCCGCGGCUGCCCCCGCAACUGUAAGCGGCGAGCCCUCCAUCACCACGUCACUGGGGUCUGCCCUGGGAAGACGAUGGGGGGCGGCGACCCGCGAGCCAGGAGACCUGCCGUCAGCCGUGGUCACAC
This 194-nucleotide non-coding RNA is filed under the name Methylobacterium nodulans. Lineage: Bacteria; Pseudomonadati; Pseudomonadota; Alphaproteobacteria; Hyphomicrobiales; Methylobacteriaceae. The record is from RNAcentral.